UUUUUUUUUCUUUUUCUUUUUAGGGCCACACCUUUGGCAUAUGGAGGUUCCCAGGCUAGAGGUCCAAGAGGAGCUGUAGCCACUGGCCUACACCACAGCCACAGCAACACAGGAUCCGAACCACGUCUGAGACCUACACCGCAUCUCACGGCAAUGACCAAUCCUUAACCCACUGAGCAAGGUCAGGGAUCGAACCUGCAUCCUCGUGGAUGCUAGUCAGAUUUGUUAACCACUGAGCCACGACGGGAACUCCUAAUAAGCCAAUUUCUGCUUAUAAUCAGGAGUGCUCGCAGGAGGAAAUGUGGGGAGGGAAACACCACCCCAAGUAAGAAUAGGGAGUGGACAAAGAUGAACAUACUAAUUAAUUAAUUCUGGAAUAUUUCUGGAGCGCAUGCUCUGGCCAGCUCUUCUAGACAGUAGCAUCAGGGUGAAGGAGGCAGAAAGGUCCUGACUCUCAGGAAGCUGUAUUCCAAUAAGAGAGUCGGCAGAGAAAAAGCAAGCAAGCAAACACAAAACAAGCUACGUCGAGCUCCCACAGUGGGCACACAUAGGCUUUUGUUUUCCCCGUUUUCCUGUUUUGAAGCUGCAGCCCUGUUGGCUGCAAACUCAGUGUUAAUCCAGGGAGAAUACUGGCAUGAGUGAAAGAAAAAAGGUAGGGUCUCCAGCAGGACAAGAUACACAGUUUCAGACCAGGGGCACGUGAAGAGAUGUUGGUUCUUUAUAUUCUGGGCAAAGUCACAGCAUGAUGACAUGUUUAGGAGCCAGAGUACGGAGGGAAUGAGAGAUCCAGAGAAAUGAUUUUCCAGUUACAGAAGGCUUUCUAGCCUUGGCUUGGAAUUCUGGCUGAAAUCUUAAAAGCCUGUGUCAUUUUGAGUUCCUCUCCAUUUUUCCAAAUGCCGAAAACUGAACAAAUAAUUUCAGUUUUAAAAUUGUUCAUACUUCAUCCCUCAUGGUGGAUCACUUCCUCCGGGAAGCCUCCCAUCACCCAGUGAGGUCAACGCCCCCCUUCUCUGCAGCUCUGGCUUCCGUAACUCCACACAGCACUUUCAUGAUACACCAUCAUCCGUGACUUACUGGUCUGUCCCCCACGAGAGGAGGAGCAUCCCCAGGCCAGGGCUAUGCUUUAUUCGAUUUUGAAUCCUCCAAAACCUAAGUAUCAUGGAGGGACACAUGGUAAGUACUCAAUAAAGGCUUAUUUACAAGAUUGCAUCUCACUGGCCAAACAUGUAUCCAUAGCCAAUGCAGUAGAUGGGCUGAAGGAGGUCCUGGUGAGGUGAGGUUUUCAUCCAAAUAAAAUCUACAUUAAAAAUGGAUAGUUUCCUCUUGACCAGACUAUACUCGCAUCAACCAAAACAUUACAAAUGAAAAAUAAGAGAAGGGCAGGCAGCCACACUAAGAGACAUAUCUGUCAAUUCAUGUAGGAACCUAAUUUGAAUCCUGGUUCAUGCACAAAAGUAUUUGGUAAAAACAGUAUCAGGUAAUAGAGGGUAUGUAAUCACUGACUGAAUGUUGACUCUUUCAUAAUUAUUUCUUUUUCAGGUGUGAUCAUGAUCCUGUGGUUUUUAAAAAGAGUUAUACUCUUUUACUGACAUAUAUGGAAAUAUUUAUAGAUGACAUGAUAUGCCAGGGAACUUCAUUCAAAAUCAUGUGGAGAAGGGUGGAGCCAUAGUUUGGGAAGUGAGUGGUAUGGAUGAAAUAACAUCAGGCAGAAAUGGCUCUAUAUGUUCUUUCAUUACAGUAUUCUUAGUGCCUUUAGAGAAGUUUGAAAAUCUCCAUGAAGAUUUUUAAAAAUCAGUACUUGAUUCGGUUUUUGAUCUGAUGAAUUCUACAGAGCAGGCUUUGCCAGGACAGAGCAGUACUGGGUUCUGGCCACUCCUGGGCUGGGUGAUUCCUCCAGCCCUGCCAGAGGCGGCAGACCCCUGGGUCUUCUGGUUAAAUAGAGAUGUAUCUCUCAGGCUCUGGGAACCAAAGGAAAGGAGAGGUAUAUCUUGACUUCUCCUAUGGAAGAAGAAAAGUCCAGAAAAGGCAGACUGGGAAGAACUUGGGAUUGGAAGUCGCAAGUUUUGAAAUCCCUCCUUGCCCCACAGCUGGGACCUGUGAAUCCUGUGAACCUCUCAAUAUCCUCAUCUCCAAAAUGAGACCCUUGGUGAGGCUGAGAGGGGACCUCCCCUGGGACGGUGAGAGGCAGCGGGGCAGCAGCUCAGAGACUUGGGUCUGAAUGCUGGCUCCAUUGUAGCAUCCACACAGGCAAGUACUAAAUAAAUGAAAACUGCUAUAAUGAAUUAUUUAAGAAAGAGCCAUUUGCUCCAGGCCUCAAAGUGAGUCAGCAGGCUCCAACCCAGCAGGAGAAUUCGUGCUCAGCCCUCCUCCACACUCGCCCUUUGAGCUCCCCUUAUGGCUCUAUCUGGACAGCUGGUUCCCACUGGUCCCUUUUUUGACGGAGAAAGGAGGCUGGAGAGGAGGAGUAGCAGGAUCCUGUUCUGACAGUUGGGCCACCUGGGAGGAAAGUGAUGAAUCAGUCUCGAUGCUGCCAUGCUGGGUACUUGAGGUUUCCCAAGCUGAGGUCCAGCGCAUCCCUGACCCAGCGCUGUCAUGUGACAGCAACAAUGGCUGUCCUUUGUGCCUUCUCCCCUGCCGCACUCAGCAACCGCACAGGCUUCUCCCAGCUUCCACGUAGGAGCACAGUUUUCUGCAACCCUGCCACGAUCAAACUCCCAAGAGGGACAUGCGUAUGUGCGCAUGCGUGUGUAUGCGCAUUUGCGUGUAUGAACCUGUGCCUGCUACCUGGGGCAGGGGGCAGUGCGCUAGCUCAGUACGGUAGUGAAAGAACAAGGAACAGGGAACAAGACACCCAACCAACGAUGGCUGGACCCCAUCUGGCCGGGCCCAGCUUUAUUUAGAAGUGUGCUCAGCCGUGUUCCUGGAAGACGUCCUGCAAUGUGAUUUCCCAGUGGAGUAUUCAGUUUGGCUUAUCCUGGACCUGUAUUCUGACCCUCAUCAUCAUCUUCCUGGGUCCAGAAACAAAGCACAAGAGGUACAAGGGGGCAAAAACUCCUUUGUGAGUUACUGUUUCUAUUUAACUAAGGAAAUGAGAGAAAGGGCCACAGCUAGGGAUAUGUAUUUACGGAGAAUGUGGAGUUUAUUGGUGGAUUUUUUUCCUUUUAACUUAUAGUGUCCUGGAUUUUGCUGUAAGAAUCCCUUAGACUUCCUCUAGUUUUGGACAGAAAACAAGUCAAACAAUGGAUUCAUUCUAUUAUACUUUUAAACAACUAUUAUAAUGAAUGAUAUUAACUCCUGCAAACAAGCAAGAUUUAAACAAAGAUUUCAUUUGUACCCACAAAUAGGUACAAAUGAAAUAUCUAGCCAAACUUCAUUUGUUAUGGAGUAGCACCUCAUCUAACUUCAAUUUUGCUAAAUAAAAAAAAGAGCUUUGAUAUCUUAUUUCAGGAUUUUGCUCUGUGAAAUACAUUUUUCCAGCACAGACGGCUUACAGUAUUUGGCUUUGUCAAAAUAGCUUUGACAUUAAAAAGCCCUUAACUAAUUGUAACUUACAGAAAGAAAAAGUUAAUUUGCCUUUUAAGCAUUCCUUACUCUGCUGCAGUUGUGGG
This 3608-nucleotide long non-coding RNA is filed under the name Sus scrofa (pig). RNAcentral's name for it is "lncRNA (ENSSSCG00015019395.1)". The record is from RNAcentral. Lineage: Eukaryota; Metazoa; Chordata; Mammalia; Artiodactyla; Suidae.